UACGGGGGGAGCAAGCGUUGUUCGGAAUUACUGGGCGUAAAGGGCGCGUAGGCGGCCUGCUAAGUCGAACGUGAAAUCCCCGGGCUCAACCCGGGAACUGCGUCCGAUACUGGUUGGCUUGAAUCCGGGAGAGGGAUGCGGAAUUCCAGGUGUAGCGGUGAAAUGCGUAGAUAUCUGGAGGAACACCGGUGGCGAAGGCGGCAUCCUGGACCGGCAUUGACGCUGAGGCGCGAAAGCCAGGGGAGCAAACGGG
This 253-nucleotide ribosomal RNA is filed under the name uncultured bacterium. RNAcentral's name for it is "partial 16S ribosomal RNA". It matches the Rfam family "Bacterial small subunit ribosomal RNA", at positions 524 to 776 of the family's 1533-position model. The record is from RNAcentral.